AGUGGCGGACGGGUGAGUAACGCGUGAGAAUCUGCCUUGGGGUCGGGGACAACCACUGGAAACGGUGGCUAAUACCGGAUAAGCCGAUUGGUGAAAGAUUUAUUGCCCGAAGAGGAGCUCGCGUCUGAUUAGCUAGUUGGUGAGGUAAGAGCUCACCAAGGCAGCGAUCAGUAGCUGGUCUGAGAGGACGAUCAGCCACACUGGGACUGAGACACGGCCCAGACUCCUACGGGAGGCAGCAGUGGGGAAUUUUCCGCAAUGGGCGAAAGCCUGACGGAACAAGACCGCGUGAGGGAGGAAGGCUCUUGGGUUGUAAACCUCUUUUCUCAGGGAAGAAGCUCUGACGGUACCUGAGGAAUCAGCCUCGGCUAACUCCGUGCCAGCAACCGCGGUAAUACGGAGGAGGCAAGCGUUAUCCGGAAUUAUUGGGCGUAAAGCGUCCGCAGGUGGCGAUUCAGGUCUGCUGUCGAAGCACGGGGCUUAACGCCGUAAAGGCAGUGGAAACUGAAUAGCUAGAGUGCCGUAGGGGUAGAGGGAAUUCCCGGUGUAGCGGUGAAAUGCGUAGAGAUCGGGAAGAACAUCGGUGGCGAAAGCGCUCUACUGGACGGCAACUGACACUCAGGGACGAAAGCUAGGGGAGCGAAUGGGAUUAGAUACCCC
This 660-nucleotide ribosomal RNA is filed under the name uncultured bacterium. Its description in RNAcentral is "bacterial SSU rRNA". It matches the Rfam family "Bacterial small subunit ribosomal RNA", at positions 94 to 788 of the family's 1533-position model. The record is from RNAcentral.